UCUUAAUCAGUACUACAACAUGAACACAAAGGUACUGUUUCUACUGGGUGUGGUUGUGGUGGUGGCUGUCGCGGAUGAUAUUCCCACUUUGUAUGGUCCCCCUCCCCAGGUAUGGCUAUGAAUGGAACGUGCAGGACGGCUACUCUAGCAGCAACUUCGCCCACCAGGAGGACCGUGGGGACGACAACACCAAGGGGUCGUACACCGUGCAGCUU
Long non-coding RNA from Homarus americanus (American lobster), 215 nucleotides. RefSeq lists it as uncharacterized. The transcript is spliced from 3 exons. The record is from RefSeq and is a predicted model, not a curated record. Lineage: Eukaryota; Metazoa; Arthropoda; Malacostraca; Decapoda; Nephropidae.